Molecule: ribosomal RNA, 469 nt
Filed under: uncultured bacterium
Lineage: Bacteria
Description: partial 16S ribosomal RNA
Rfam family: Bacterial small subunit ribosomal RNA
Source: RNAcentral
GACGAACGCUGGCGGCGUGCUUAACACAUGCAAGUCGAACGGAAAGGCCCUGCUUUUGUGGGGUGCUCGAGUGGCGAACGGGUGAGUAACACGUGAGUAACCUGCCCUUGACUUUGGGAUAACUUCAGGAAACUGGGGCUAAUACCGGAUAGGAGCUCCUGCUGCAUGGUGGGGGUUGGAAAGUUUCGGCGGUUGGGGAUGGACUCGCGGCUUAUCAGCUUGUUGGUGGGGUAGUGGCUUACCAAGGCUUUGACGGGUAGCCGGCCUGAGAGGGUGACCGGCCACAGUGGGACUGAGAUACGGCCCAGACUCCUACGGGAGGCAGCAGUGGGGAAUAUUGCACAAGGGGCGGAAGCCUGAUGCAGCAACGCCGCGUGCGGGAUGACGGCCUUCGGGUUGUAAACCGCUUUCGCCUGUGACGAAGCGUGAGUGACGGUAAGGGGUAAAGAAGCACCGGCUAACUACGUGC